RNAcentral lists this ribosomal RNA (443 nucleotides) under uncultured bacterium. Its description in RNAcentral is "partial 16S ribosomal RNA". It matches the Rfam family "Bacterial small subunit ribosomal RNA", at positions 338 to 795 of the family's 1533-position model. The record is from RNAcentral.
CCUACGGUGGGCUGCAGUGGGGAAUAUUGGACAAUGGGGGGAACCCUGAUCCAGCGACGCCGCGUGAGUGAAGAAGUAUUUCGGUAUGUAAAGCUCUAUCAGCAGGGAAGAAAGAAAUGACGGUACCUGACUAAGAAGCCCCGCCUAACUACGUGCCAGCAGCCGCGGUAAUACGUAGGGGGCAAGCGUUAUCCGGAUUUACUGGGUGUAAAGGGAGCGUAGACGGCGAUGCAAGUCUGAAGUGAAAGGCGGGGGCUCAACCUCCGGACUGCUUUGGAAACUGGAUGGCUGGAGUGCAGGAGAGGUAAGUGGAAUUCCUAGUGUAGCGGUGAAAUGCGUAGAUAUUAGGAAGAACACCAGUGGCGAAGGCGGCUUACUGGACUGUAACUGACGUUGAGGCUCGAAAGCGUGGGGAGCAAACAGGAGUAGAUACCCGAGUAGUC